Molecule: ribosomal RNA, 344 nt
Filed under: uncultured bacterium
Lineage: Bacteria
Description: bacterial SSU rRNA
Rfam family: Bacterial small subunit ribosomal RNA
Source: RNAcentral
UGGCUCAGAACGAACGCUGGCGGCAUGCCUUACACAUGCAAGUCGAACGGCAGCAUGGAGGAGCUUGCUCCUCUGAUGGCGAGUGGCGAACGGGUGAGUAAAGCAUCGGAACGUGCCGUGUAGUGGGGGAUAACGUAGCGAAAGUUACGCUAAUACCGCAUACGCACCGAGGUGGAAAGCAGGGGAUCGCAAGACCUUGCGCUAUACGAGCGGCCGAUGUCAGAUUAGCUAGUUGGUAGGGUAAAGGCCUACCAGGGAGACGAUCUGUAGCGGGUCUGAGAGGAUGAUCCGCCACACUUUAUCUGAGACACGGGGAAGACUCCUACGGGAGUCCUCAGUGGGGA